RNAcentral lists this ribosomal RNA (468 nucleotides) under uncultured bacterium. RNAcentral describes it as "partial 16S ribosomal RNA". It matches the Rfam family "Bacterial small subunit ribosomal RNA", at positions 28 to 507 of the family's 1533-position model. The record is from RNAcentral.
GACGAACGCUGGCGGCGUGCUUAACACAUGCAAGUCGAACGGAAAGGCCCUGCUUUUGUGGGGUGCUCGAGUGGCGAACGGGUGAGUAACACGUGAGUAACCUGCCCUUGACUUUGGUAUAACUUCACGAAACUGGGGUUAAUACCGUAUAGCAGACCCUGCUCCGUGGUGGGGGUUGGAAAGUCUCGGCUGUUGGGGAUGGACUCGCGGGUUAACAGCUUGCUGGUGGGGGAGUGGCUUACCAAGGCAUUGACCGGUAGCCGGCCUGAGUGGGUGAACGGCCACAUUGGGACUGAGGGACGGCCCAGACGGCUACGGGAGGCAGCAGGGGGGAAUAUUGCACAAUGGGCGGAAGCCUGAGGAAGCAACGCCGCGUGCGGGAAGACGGCCUUCGGGGUGUAAACAGCUUUCGCCUGUGACGAAGCGUGAGUGACGGUAAUGGAUAAAGAAGCACCGGCUAACUACGUG